GGAGGAAUAUUGCACAACGGGGGAAACCCAGGUGCAGCAACGCCGCGUGAGUGAAGAAGGCCUUCGGGUCGUAAAACUCUUUUCUGAGGGAUGAGGAAGGACAGUACCUCAGGAACAAGUCUCGGCUAAUUACGUGCCAGCAGCCGCGGUAAGACGUAAGAGGCGAGCGUUAUCCGGAUUUACUGGGCGUAAAGGGCAAGUAGGCGGUACGGCAAGUCAGUUGUGACAGAUCCCGGCUUAACUGGGAGAGGACGAUUGAGACUGUCGAGCUAGAGGACAGGAGAGGGAAGCGGAAUUCCUUGUGUAGCGGUGGAAUGCUCAGAUACAAGGAGGAACACCAGUGGCGAAGGCGGCUUUCUGGCCUGGUCCUGACGCUGAAGAGCGAAAGCUAGGGGAGCAAACGGG
Molecule: ribosomal RNA, 405 nt
Filed under: uncultured bacterium
Lineage: Bacteria
Description: bacterial SSU rRNA
Rfam family: Bacterial small subunit ribosomal RNA
Source: RNAcentral